AGAUAUUAAAAGAAGCAUCUUUGGAUGAAGGAUUAAACUUUUUUUUUAUCCAGAGUGGCUGCAGGGGUUCUUACCUUUGAGCGAGAGAUGGUCGGACACUCUGAAAGCCAAAAUGCUUAUUAUUGCCCUCUUUGUGAAAUAGUAGAAGAUUCAGUCUUACAUCUAUUUCAAUAUUGUCCCUAUGCCAAAGGAAUGUGGUAUGGUGGUAGAUGGGGUUUUCGCGUUGAAAUGAUCCAAGCUAAAUCUGUAAAGGAGUUCAUUGAACAAAUACUUAACCCCCCAAAGGAAUUACUAGCAAAAAGAGUCACCAAAGAUGAAUUCACACUGUAUGCAGUAAUGGCGAUGAAAAUCCUCUUGGAUGCACGGGAAAAAGCUUUGGUUUCAUACUCUGAAGCAAGCAUAAAUUAGCUAGCCCAUCAUCUUAACACACAGUAUGACUCUAACUUGAGAUCACUUGGGACUACAAGGGAACUGAAGAGCAAAACAGGGAAAGUGCUUGGACCAAACCACCUGAUCAAUUGCUAAAGCUUAACUUUGAUGUGUCAUGUGAUCAAAAUAAUGUAGGCUUGGAUGUGGUUGUCAGAAAUCAAGAGGGGAAUCCUCUCAAAAAAAAAAGAAAAAAGAGGGGAAUGAUAGAGCAAUCAGACGUGGGAUAAGCCUCUACAAUAAGAUGGGCAAUGCCAUUGGCAAAUGAGGAGAGACUUGAACAAGUUGUGGUAAAGGGUAUAAAGCUAACAUCAUCGACUUCAUUGCAAAUCUAGCUUGCAAGCUCGGUUGGGAAUGGAAGAACAUAAUGAAGGAUAUUUUGGCUUUCGCUUCUUUUUUCAGAUAAUAAUGUAGUGCACAGCCUCAUAAAAUGGGCACUGGGGUCUAAUGACUCUAGUCUAUUGUUGCCUGUAAAUGUUCCCCCAACAGUAAAAAGGGCCUUGGCGGAAGAAAUGAGAACCUCUUCAUUCAAAUUCAAAGAAAUAUGACAAGGAAGCAGAGCAUCUUUGCUUAGACAACCGCUUGCUAGAAAUUGCACUACACUUGAAGAGCCAAACCAAUCAACCAAGACAAAGCUGCAAGUCCAAUGCAAGCACCCCAUUGCCCCCAAUUAGCCUCUUGGUACUGACAAUUGACAAACCACUUCGCUAAGCCCACCAUCACUAGCUGAAAAACUUUGGUAAACCUUAGAAUUAUUAAAAACAUCUUGUUCUUGAAUAACCCCUAAAUUUGUUCUUCUCCAGUUGUCUAGCGUCAAACUUAUUGAAGACUUGAUAGAGGAAAAAGUGUUGAAAAUGAGGGUUUCUUUCACUAUCUGACACUCACCAAAGAUAGAUCAUGCCCUACAUUGUAGCAUCAGUAAGACUUCUAUGGCUUUGGUUAUAAAUUGCUUUGAUUGAUGGCUUUACUAUGAAGACUUUGUGCGGCCAUAGCUAAAGUUGAUGCAAGGGCAGCAACUUUCAUAGUGAGCUGGAGCUGAAUGAAAUUUUGAUUGUUCUUAUAUACACACCUUCUCCACCUCAAAACUGUCACUGCAGAAGUAAACAACCAGGAUCACAGUAUUUGUGCUCUCCUUUGCCACUUCAGUGCCUUUGAUUCCCAUGUAAAGCCCAAUAAUUUUCUUCUCAUAGAAUAGAUACAUGAUUCAUACCAGCAAUUCUCUCUUCAGGUGAGUAUUUUUUCAAAAUUCCCCAUUCUACUACAGCUUCAUUAUUCAAAUCCUCAUCAAGAUUGGGAAUCCCACAUUCCAAAGCUAUCACUCUUGCUGCAUGUUCAUUGUCACCGGUGAUCAUUUUGAUGUUUACUCUAGAGAGUGCAUAAAGUCUUCUUACUCUUCCUCUUUUCGAAAUCCUCACUUCUAUUUUUCUUUGAAUUGAGGGCCUUGACUUAGAUUAUCUCAGAAUUCUGCUUGAUUUUAUCGAUAUUGGUACCUAAAUCAAAGAUAGCCCAAUAAUGUAGUACUUUUGCUGUAUGGCUCCCAAAUCCUUCAAUAGGUCAUGUAGAAAUGCUAUUUGUAAAUUGUACUAGCUGUGUUGAAACCAAAAACUUGUUGCCUUAUAACAAGAACAUUUUCUACUUUUUCUUAGGAAGUACAUUUUCUUGUUGCUUCUUUACCAAGCCAAGAUUCUGUUAGCUUCAUCUCAUUAAUUGUCAAGUGCCUGUUUUGUCAGUGAAGAUUCUUUUUUCUUUUUUUUUUUGGCUGAGUCCAUUGUGUAACAAGCAAAAGGUUCUUGAACCAAGGUGUAAUCAAGCAUCAAGCAUUUCAUAGAAUAUGCUACAUGUAAGAGUAACAGAUAGAGGUAGACCUUCUAGAGUUGCCACCACCAUAACUGUGACUACCGCGGCAAAAAGGCAUGAUCAAUCAUCAUGCACUAUAUCUCUAAUACUUUGAGUUUUAAAUAUUUGUAUGAGUAUUAAGAUUUAGAGUAUUAGAGCAACAAAUGUUCUCUCAUGUCAACCCUUAAAUUUGCAUACUAUGGUUUUGUUAUUUUAAUUUUCUGUUCACAUUUUUUUUUUUAACAUAAAGUCUGUAUUUUUAACCAACAUCAAUUUAGUGGUGGUUAUCUUCAACAUAAUAUUUUUUCUUUAAAUCAAGCUUCAGUAUGACCAGGCUGCUUGUCUUGUGCUAUUACUCUCAAGAAAGAGGCCACAUUAGAGAAUGACGCUUCCUACUGGUAGUUGUGGAAAGAAAUGAUGAAUGCUCUUAACAAGUGAGUGAAAAGGCAAAGACCAACUUGCAAUUUCAAUACCCGAUUGCCCUCACUCCAGCCUCCUAGUAUUUGCUUAGGUCAUUGAGCGCUUGUAGCAGAUGUUAAAAUCUCAGAUCCAGAGGACCCUGAUUCUGAAGAACAUGACCCGGAGAAGGAUUCUCAUAAUAGUAAAGGAGACACAGUGACUUUUAUGAUGUACAUCAUUCUCAUUGUCCUCGUUUGUUUAGUACUUGGCUUCAAAUCCUACUGUGAUAGAAAGAAGAGACUGAAGGCUGAGCUUCUUAAAGAAGGCAUCGUACGCACAUCCGGUGGAUCCCAUCCUCCUCUUGUACACUAAUUAUUAUGAAUUGUUUCUCUCGGAAACAUGUGUGGCACUCUACAAUCUAUGGUAUCAAUAUGAUGUUAGAGAGAUGAUGCAUAUAACAUUUGGGUUUUAUACAAGAGUUUCAUACAAAUAAACCUAUUACGUUCGAAGGAGACGUUUUUAUCAAGCUUGAUUAAUUGGUUUUUAUUUAUUUAUUUAUCAUAAAGUUGGUUUUUACUUUUUUUAUUCUGUUUGGGAUUAGUGGCUUAAGACAAGGCAAAGAAGAAAUUUGAAUUAGU
This is a long non-coding RNA of Quercus lobata, 3299 nucleotides long. RefSeq lists it as uncharacterized. The transcript is spliced from 5 exons. The record is from RefSeq and is a predicted model, not a curated record. NCBI's taxonomy places the organism in Eukaryota, Viridiplantae, Streptophyta, Magnoliopsida, Fagales, Fagaceae.